This 253-nucleotide ribosomal RNA is filed under the name uncultured microorganism. Its description in RNAcentral is "partial 16S ribosomal RNA". It matches the Rfam family "Bacterial small subunit ribosomal RNA", at positions 524 to 776 of the family's 1533-position model. The record is from RNAcentral.
UACGUAGGGUGCGAGCGUUAAUCGGAUUUACUGGGCGUAAAGCGUGCGCAGGCGGCCCGUUAAGACAGGUGUGAAAUCCCUGGGCUCAACCUAGGAAUUGCGCUUGUGACUGGCGGGCUCGAGUACGGUAGAGGGGGGUGGAAUUCCUGGUGUAGCGGUGAAAUGCGUAGAUAUCGGGAGGAAUACCGGUGGCGAAGGCAGCCCCCUGGGCCUGUACUGACGCUCAUGCACGAAAGCGUGGGGAGCAAACAGG